GACAUCCAGAGAAUUUAGCAGAGAUGCUUUAGUGCCUUCGGGAACUCUGAGACAGGUGCUGCAUGGCUGUCGUCAGCUCGUGUUGUGAAAUGUUGGGUUAACGUCCGCAACGAGCGCAACCCUUAUCCUUUGUUGCCAGCACGUAAUGGUGGGAAACUCAAAGGAGACUGCCGGUGAUAAACCGGAGGAAGGUGGGGAUGACGUCAAGUCAUCAUGGCCCUUACGAGUAGGGCUACACACGUGCUACAAUGGCGUAUACAAAGAGAAGCGACCUCGCGAGAGCAAGCGGACCUCAUAAAGUGCGUCGUAGUCCGGAUUGGAGUCUGCAACUCGACUCCAUGAAGUCGGAAUCGCUAGUAAUCGUAAAUCAGAAUGUUACGGUGAAUACGUUCCCGGGCCUUGUACACACCGCCCGUCACACCAUGGGAGUGGGUUGCAAAAGAAGUAGAUAGCUUAACCUUCGGGAGGGCGUUUACCACUUUGUGAUUCAUGACUGGGGUGAAGUCGUAACAAGGUAGGCGUAGUGCU
This 528-nucleotide ribosomal RNA is filed under the name uncultured bacterium. RNAcentral's name for it is "bacterial SSU rRNA". It matches the Rfam family "Bacterial small subunit ribosomal RNA", at positions 983 to 1509 of the family's 1533-position model. The record is from RNAcentral.